UCAGAGCUUGAAGCAUCCUGGUACAUGUCAGAAUGUACCGUUUAGGAGGAGAUUUCAUUCUGCUGAAUCCCUUGAAGCAGAUUUGACCAGAAAGGGCUGUGCCUUCAGUUUCAACUGCUCAUGGACAAGGCCCUCAUCAGUGCAGUCUGCCCUGGUAGGCAAUGUUGCUUGUGUCCCAAACGCAUAUGUAGCUGUGCUCCCUGGAGACCUGGGUCUAUGAUGACAAACCUAUGUCAUGAAGAGAGAUGGUGACAUACAAACCAUCCUCAAUAGAAUGUGCUGAGGCCCAGACUG
Molecule: non-coding RNA, 294 nt
Organism: Peromyscus maniculatus bairdii (prairie deer mouse)
Lineage: Eukaryota; Metazoa; Chordata; Mammalia; Rodentia; Cricetidae
Source: RefSeq, a predicted model, not a curated record